AGCUGCACGUAUAACACAUAACUUAGAAGCAGCGCCACAGAUGUACCAACACACACGAGAUUGAAACAUAACCGACCUCACACACUUCUCAUGAGGAAUUCCGGAAGAAGCUUUGUGAGACCACUACUGAGACGCUUCCGAAAAAAAGAAAACCGUUGGAAAACAGUUUAUAGCAGAGACUCCAUCUAAGAAGAUCUGAAGAAGGAACUGUAAUUCCGAAAUAUCAUCGGACUAUAGAUAACCAAAUUACAACAGCAACCUUGUCAAUGGAUGUUGACUCUUGGAAGAAAACCUGCGCCGUGAGGACCAAAGACUUGAGAUGCAUCUCAGCAGUGGUCUCUCGAAGCUCCUUUUGGAAUUCCUCAUGAGAAGUGUGUGAUGUCGGCCAUGUCGCAAUCUCGUGUGCUGGUACAUCUGUAGCACUGCUUCUAUGUUAUGUAUAAUACAUGCAGCUUCCUUUUUUUUUCCUUUAUAUAUAUAUAUAUAUAUAUAUACAGGCAACUGUGCAAGUAAAUAAAUUAAGACACAUCAGAUAUUUCAAAUAUAUUAAAUAUAUUAUUUUGUUUGGGGAUUUGGUUUGCAAGAUUCUUUAUGUGAGUUCGUGUGUUGAAGCAUAUUCUGUUAUGUCUGGGGAGUGUCUCUUUUUUUUGUGCCUUAUAAUUUAAGACACUCACCGGUAAAAUUUCCACUUAUUCCUUAUUUUUAUCUUCCUAAAAUUUUUGUUGCGUCUUGAAACCUUUUCAAUAGUCUUGACUCUUAAAUUUCUUAAAUGUUUUUUCAAUAUAUAGGUAUUUAUAUUAAUACACAGACUAUAAAUGACAGAAAAAAUUAAACGAGUGGAAGAGAAGUGUUAUAAGCCCAACAGCUGUUUCUGGGGUCUUGGCAAUCCAUAAUAAUGUUGGUAGAUUUAGUUCAUCACAAUAAGCUGCCAUAUGGAUGCAGUUAACAUUGAAUGAUAUGACCCUCCAUCAACAGGGUAGAGAAGAUAUUACGUUUCAGAUCUUAAGGCAAAGAAUUUAAUUUUCUGUCAUUUUACUCUGUGUAAGUUGCAUCUAUCAAUAUAAAUAGGUACAUAUUUAUAAAUAAAAAUUCCUCACCUGAAAGUU
This is an RNA transcript of Octopus bimaculoides (California two-spot octopus), 1106 nucleotides long. RefSeq lists it as uncharacterized. The record is from RefSeq and is a predicted model, not a curated record. Lineage: Eukaryota; Metazoa; Mollusca; Cephalopoda; Octopoda; Octopodidae.